UUGGAAAGUCUGAUGCUAAUUUUCCGUAAAAUACUUUUUGAUAUAAUUUUUUAUAUUCGGAGAGUUAUUUAGGAUAAGAAUCUUGGUAUUUAAAUAAAAUUAUUUAUCAUAUAUUGUAAAUAGUUAAUAAAUUAUAUCAAUAAAUAUGAUAGUGUAAUAGAUAAUAAGCCUAUGGUUAGCUUUUUUUAGUUAGCUUCAAAUUAAAACAAAAAUCAGCUUAU
RNAcentral lists this non-coding RNA (221 nucleotides) under Dactylellina haptotyla. The record is from RNAcentral. Lineage: Eukaryota; Fungi; Ascomycota; Orbiliomycetes; Orbiliales; Orbiliaceae.